AGAUUAAGUUAUUAAGGGCGCACGGUGGAUGCCUUGGCACUAGAAGCCGAUGAAGGACGUUACUAACGACGAUAUGCUUUGGGGAGCUGUAAGUAAGCGUUGAUCCAGAGAUUUCCGAAUGGGGAAACCCAGCAUGAGUUAUGUCAUGUUAUCGAUAUGUGAAUACAUAGCAUAUCAGAAGGCAGACCCGGAGAACUGAAACAUCUUAGUACCCGGAGGAAGAGAAAGAAAAAUCGAUUCCCUGAGUAGCGGCGAGCGAAACGGGAAGAGCCCAAACCAACAAGCUUGCUUGUUGGGGUUGUAGGACACUCUAUACGGAGUUACAAAAGUAUAUAUUAGACGAAUCAUCUGGAAAGUUGAAUCAAAGAAGGUAAUAAUCCUGUAGUCGAAAAUAUAUACUCUCUUGAGUGGAUCCUGAGUACGACGGAGCACGUGAAAUUCCGUCGGAAUCUGGGAGGACCAUCUCCUAAGGCUAAAUACUCUCUAGUGACCGAUAGUGAACCAGUACCGUGAGGGAAAGGUGAAAAGUACCCCGGAAGGGGAGUGAAAGAGAACUUGAAACCGUGUGCUUACAAGUAGUCAGAGCCCGUUAAUGGGUGAUGGCGUGCCUUUUGUAGAAUGAACCGGCGAGUUACGAUUUGAUGCAAGGUUAAGCAGCUAAUGUGGAGCCGUAGCGAAAGCGAGUCUGAAUAGGGCGUUUAGUAUUUGGUCGUAGACCCGAAACCAGGUGAUCUACCCUUGGUCAGGUUGAAGUUCAGGUAACACUGAAUGGAGGACCGAACCGACUUACGUUGAAAAGUGAGCGGAUGAACUGAGGGUAGCGGAGAAAUUCCAAUCGAACUUGGAGAUAGCUGGUUCUCUCCGAAAUAGCUUUAGGGCUAGCCUCAAGUGAUGAUUAUUGGAGGUAGAGCACUGUUUGGACGAGGGGCCCUUCUCGGGUUACCGAAUUCAGACAAACUCCGAAUGCCAAUCAAUUUAACUUGGGAGUCAGAACAUGGGUGAUAAGGUCCGUGUUCGAAAGGGAAACAGCCCAGACCACCAGCUAAGGUCCCAAAAUAUAUGUUAAGUGGAAAAGGAUGUGGCGUUGCCCAGACAACUAGGAUGUUGGCUUAGAAGCAGCCAUCAUUUAAAGAGUGCGUAAUAGCUCACUAGUCGAGUGACACUGCGCCGAAAAUGUACCGGGGCUAAACAUAUUACCGAAGCUGUGGAUUGUCCGUAGGACAAUGGUAGGAGAGCGUUCUAAGGGCGUCGAAGCAUGAUCGCAAGGACAUGUGGAGCGCUUAGAAGUGAGAAUGCCGGUGUGAGUAGCGAAAGACGGGUGAGAAUCCCGUCCACCGAUUGACUAAGGUUUCCAGAGGAAGGCUCGUCCGCUCUGGGUUAGUCGGGUCCUAAGCUGAGGCCGACAGGCGUAGGCGAUGGAUAACAGGUUGAUAUUCCUGUACCACCUAGUAUCGUUUUAAUCGAUGGGGGGACGCAGUAGGAUAGGCGAAGCGUGCUAUUGGAUUGCACGUCCAAG
This 1516-nucleotide ribosomal RNA is filed under the name Salmonella enterica subsp. enterica serovar Typhimurium. RNAcentral describes it as "partial 23S ribosomal RNA". It matches the Rfam family "Bacterial large subunit ribosomal RNA", at positions 1 to 1516 of the family's 2925-position model. The record is from RNAcentral. Lineage: Bacteria; Pseudomonadati; Pseudomonadota; Gammaproteobacteria; Enterobacterales; Enterobacteriaceae.